CAUGACCUUCUCUACUUCUCCUUCAUCAUCUUCUUCA
Molecule: small RNA, 37 nt
Filed under: Arabidopsis thaliana (thale cress)
Lineage: Eukaryota; Viridiplantae; Streptophyta; Magnoliopsida; Brassicales; Brassicaceae
Description: ATSL208710
Source: RNAcentral